This 497-nucleotide ribosomal RNA is filed under the name uncultured bacterium. Its description in RNAcentral is "partial 16S ribosomal RNA". It matches the Rfam family "Bacterial small subunit ribosomal RNA", at positions 28 to 507 of the family's 1533-position model. The record is from RNAcentral.
GAUGAACGCUGGCGGCGUGCCUAAUACAUGCAAGUCGAGCGAACGGACGAGAAGCUUGCUUCUCUGAUGUUAGCGGCGGACGGGUGAGUAACACGUGGAUAACCUACCUAUAAGACUGGGAUAACUUCGGGAAACCGGAGCUAAUACCGGAUAAUAUUUUGAACCGCAUGGUUCAAAAGUGAAAGACGGUCUUGCUGUCACUUAUAGAUGGAUCCGCGCUGCAUUAGCUAGUUGGUAAGGUAACGGCUUACCAAGGCAACGAUGCAUAGCCGACCUGAGAGGGGGAUCGGCCACCCUGGAACUGAAACACGGUCCCAACUCCUACGGGAGGCCACAGUAGGGAAUCUUCCGCAAUGGGCGAAAGCCUGACGGAGCAACGCCGCGUGAGUGAUGAAGGUCUUCGGAUCGUAAAACUCUGUUAUUAGGGAAGAACAUAUGUGUAAGUAACUGUGCACAUCUUGACGGUACCUAAUCAGAAAGCCACGGCUAACUACGUG